Molecule: ribosomal RNA, 253 nt
Filed under: uncultured bacterium
Lineage: Bacteria
Description: partial 16S ribosomal RNA
Rfam family: Bacterial small subunit ribosomal RNA
Source: RNAcentral
UACAGAGGUCCCAAGCGUUGUUCGGAUUCACUGGGCGUAAAGGGUGCGUAGGUGGUGAGGUAAGUCGGAUGUGAAAUCUCCGGGCUCAACCCGGAAAUGGCAUUGGAAACUACCUUGCUUGAGGGUUUGAGGGGGGAUUGGAAUACUUGGUGUAGCAGUGAAAUGCGUAGAUAUCAAGUGGAACACCAGUGGCGAAGGCGAAUCCCUGGAAAAUACCUGACACUGAGGCACGAAAGCUAGGGGAGCAAACGGG